Long non-coding RNA from Heterocephalus glaber (naked mole-rat), 717 nucleotides. The record is from Ensembl. NCBI's taxonomy places the organism in Eukaryota, Metazoa, Chordata, Mammalia, Rodentia, Bathyergidae.
CACGCAGCCUUCGGGGAGUCACUUGGCCCCCGGAGCGUUCAGCCUGCUCCCUCCCACCAGGAGGGGGCACCAGAGCAAGCUGGGGCAAAGGUGAGCCACUCCCCCUCACAGAUGUCUCACUCUGUCCCCCUGCCAGUGGCCCAUGGUCCCCAGGUCACCCCCACGCUGGAGAUGGGGAAACUGAGGUUCAAAGAGUUUAAGCAACGUGAUGGAGCCCAUUCAGUUAAUGCUGCCGGCCACGGGGGUGCAUUGCUGAGGAUGGAGGGAGAUGGGCACUUCCCUUCCCCUUGGGGCAGUGAACGUGCAGGAGUCACCCCUCUGCUCUUGACCCAGAGACCCCACCAGCCCAUUUAUCACCUACUCAAGCCCAGGUGAGGCAGUGGGCAGUGCUCCCAGGAGACACGGACAUGGCUCAUAAACCCCUCUACAGUGAUGCUAACAAACUGAAUUAGUCUCCAUACAGGAAGUUUCAGCUUUCUGUCACUGAGACAACAUACUGGAAUAAUCAACUUCAAAGGAGGAAAGUUUUAUUUUGAUGCAUUUUCAGAGGGCUCAGUUUGCGGUCAGCCCCUUUGUGUUUGGGUCUGUAGCAAGGCAGAACAUCAGGUGACAGAGGAGUCUGCUCACCACAGCAGCUGGAAAAGAGAGAGGAGUAAGGGCUGAGGGUUCUGGGAUCCCUACUGUAGCCUGUUCCUAAUGACGAACUUCUUCCUCAAG